AUGGUCAAGAUCGAAGAUUGUGAUGGGGAUGGCGCCGCCGACCCGCCGCAGCCCAAUCCGGCUCCGGCACCCGCUGCCGUCAAGGCGGAGGAGGCGAUUGAUGAUGGUCAGCCAGGCUCUUCAUCCAGCUAUUUAAGGUCACACUUUAUUGGUAUGGGAUUUUCACCAAUACUGGUCGACAAAAUGCUUCAGAAACAUGGUGAUCAUGAUUCUAACACUAUAUUGGAGUCACUUUUGUCUCAUCAUAAUUCCGGGUCUGAAUCGUCAAGUUCGUUAGGCAGUCUCUUUGAUUCUGACAAUGAAGAAAACAGUUCUAAACAAGACAUCAAGCCGGAGCCAGAUUCUUUCUCAGAAAGGAGGUCAUAUUUACUCCGCACAAUGAACUUCUCACAGACGGAAGUCGAUUUAGCAUUCAACCAAUUAGGUGAGGAUGCACUACUUGAUCAGCUUGUAGAUUUCAUUGUCACUGCUCAGGGAGGAGUAUUACCGGGAGAUAUGGAAAAUGGCCAUGCUACAAAUGAGGUAAAAGCUGAAUCAUUGUUUGGGGUAAUGGAUAAAACGCUUCAUUUGCUUCAGAUGGGUUUUACUGAGGAAGAAGUGUCAUUGGCUAUUGAUAGCUUCGGUCAGGAAGCAGCGGUUCAGGAGCUUGCUGACUCAAUUUUUGCAAGACGUAUUGCCAGUACCAUUGAGCAGAAACAGGUGAAAAUUGAGUCUGAAUUUCUAGGGGAGCAAGGGGAGCAAGAAACUGAAUAUUCAACAUAUCAUCAGAGGUUGAACUAUUAUGAUGAUGACGAUGACAACAAAAGAGUUAAAAAGGCCAAGCAUAUAUUCAGAGAUGAUAGAGGAGCCUCAAGUAGUCAUGCUGUCAAUCAACCUACUCCGUGGUUAAGUGGCGGUGUUGGGUCAGCUGGUGAUGGUUAUUUGAAGGAAGAAGAUUAUGAAAUGACAUUGGGCCCUCGUGCAAAUGUCUCUGGUGAGCUUGCCAAGCCUCCCUUCUUCCUCUAUGGAAAUGUUGUUAACAUCACCAAAGAUGCGUGGUCUGAAAUAUCGGGUUUCUUGUCCGGUGUGCGGCCUGAGUUUAUAAAUAGUCAGCUUUUCUCGGCUUUGAUGCGAAGGGAAGGUUACCUUCAUAACCUUCCAACAGAGAGAAGGCAUGUUGUGGUUCCGAAGUCACCAAUGACAAUUGAGGAUGCAGUGCCUUCCACAAGACAUUACUGGCCCACAUGGGAUACCAGAAAACAUAUUGGUAGUGUUACUUCAGAGGUGGCAGGAAUUGAACAACUUUGUGAGAUGUUGGGAAAGACCAUAAAAGAUUCACGAGGACUUCUUUCAGAAGAAAAACGAGCGCAGAUCUUGCACCAAUGCAAGAUGGCAAAUCUUAUCUGGAUUGGUCAAGACCGGCUAGGCCCUCUGCAGCCAAAUCAAAUGGAGCGGAUAUUAGGUUACCCAUCAAACCAUACAAAUCUGUUUGGUCUAAACCCACCGGACAGGAUUGCUGCUAUGAAAUACGCUUUUCAAACGGACACCAUUGCUUAUCUUUUGUCAGUUCUAAAAGACAUCUAUCCAGAUGGUUUGAGGGUACUAUCCAUCUAUAGUGGAGUUGGGGGUGCAGAAAUUGCGCUGCAUCGUCUCGGUAUUCCACUAAAGUGUGUAGUGUCUGUUGAAGAGUCUGAUGUGAACAGGAAAAUUCUGAAAAGAUGGUGGGCAAAAACAGAGCAGAGCGGAGUUCUGAGACAACUAAAUGGCAUAUGGAAGCUAAAGACCGAUGCACUUGAGGACCUAUUUAAGGAAUUUGGUGGCUUUGACUUAGUUGUUGGCGGAAAUUACAGUUCAUAUAGAGGUGGGACGACAGUAAAUGCAACUAUGGGGAUGGACUCCAGUAAAUACUUUGAGUACGUUCGUGUUCUUCAAAGAGUGAGAAGUAUGCAGCACUUUUAUAAGUAG
RNAcentral lists this ribosomal RNA (1944 nucleotides) under Triticum aestivum (bread wheat). Its description in RNAcentral is "partial small subunit ribosomal RNA". Lineage: Eukaryota; Viridiplantae; Streptophyta; Magnoliopsida; Poales; Poaceae. The record is from RNAcentral.